Molecule: long non-coding RNA, 373 nt
Organism: Tyto alba (common barn owl)
Lineage: Eukaryota; Metazoa; Chordata; Aves; Strigiformes; Tytonidae
Exons: 3
Source: RefSeq, a predicted model, not a curated record
AAAAUUCUGUGCACAGGAGUCCGGACGAAGACGCAGGACGCAAACAGCUGUCCGGACUGCUGAGCGUGGAUGGACUCAUGCCAGUCGCAUUAAAGGCCCCGUGACGAAACCUCAAUGGAAAGUAAUUAGUACUCCAGUUAAAGCUGCAAAGUGGGAAGCCUAUAUAAACAGGCAGAAAGCCCGAAACAGCUGUUCUCCUGAAGAAUUCCCUUGCUGCCGAGAAGAUGGUACACCCCGUGGCUCGAAGCAACCGAGUCGACGGGCGAGGCAGAGGAGGAACAAACCGUGGGGAAAAGGAUCAGAACAAUGGGACGCAAAAGCAGCAAUGGUCUAACUUCCCCAGGACUGGUAAAAAUAUACUUAAAUUGGCAAA